CGAGCUUCCAAAGCAGCAAUUUUUUCUUCUUUUAUUUCAAGAGACUUUUUUAGGGUAGACUCUAAUUUUGACUCCAAAAGCUUGUACCUACUACUCAAUGAAAUAUGAAGAUGUACUUUUUAUUGACACUUCAACAAACAUAAAAUUUGAAACAUUUACAUAUACAUGUUAGAUUCCAGUGUAAUGUUCUUGAAAGAUUUUGGAGAAACUAGGUUAGUUUUGGAAGACGACUAUUUGUCUGCAGAUACAACACAGACAGCAGCAGAGUAGGUUUCCCUGAAUCCUUGUCAAAAUGCUUCAAUGCUGACUUGGAAGACCAGUAUAGAAAUGAAAAUAGGUAAGAAUGCAAAGGCAUAGCAGGACAGCUUCAUGCCCAGAGCAGUGUGGUACAUAGAGCACUGC
Gavialis gangeticus (Gharial) is the source of this 402-nucleotide long non-coding RNA. RefSeq lists it as uncharacterized. The transcript is spliced from 3 exons. Lineage: Eukaryota; Metazoa; Chordata; Crocodylia; Gavialidae. The record is from RefSeq and is a predicted model, not a curated record.